RNAcentral lists this ribosomal RNA (1530 nucleotides) under Escherichia coli. RNAcentral's name for it is "bacterial SSU rRNA". It matches the Rfam family "Bacterial small subunit ribosomal RNA". Lineage: Bacteria; Pseudomonadati; Pseudomonadota; Gammaproteobacteria; Enterobacterales; Enterobacteriaceae. The record is from RNAcentral.
AGAGUUUGAUCAUGGCUCAGAUUGAACGCUGGCGGCAGGCCUAACACAUGCAAGUCGAACGGUAACAGGAAGAAGCUUGCUUCUUUGCUGACGAGUGGCGGACGGGUGAGUAAUGUCUGGGAAACUGCCUGAUGGAGGGGGAUAACUACUGGAAACGGUAGCUAAUACCGCAUAACGUCGCAAGACCAAAGAGGGGGACCUUCGGGCCUCUUGCCAUCGGAUGUGCCCAGAUGGGAUUAGCUAGUAGGUGGGGUAACGGCUCACCUAGGCGACGAUCCCUAGCUGGUCUGAGAGGAUGACCAGCCACACUGGAACUGAGACACGGUCCAGACUCCUACGGGAGGCAGCAGUGGGGAAUAUUGCACAAUGGGCGCAAGCCUGAUGCAGCCAUGCCGCGUGUAUGAAGAAGGCCUUCGGGUUGUAAAGUACUUUCAGCGGGGAGGAAGGGAGUAAAGUUAAUACCUUUGCUCAUUGACGUUACCCGCAGAAGAAGCACCGGCUAACUCCGUGCCAGCAGCCGCGGUAAUACGGAGGGUGCGAGCGUUAAUCGGAAUUACUGGGCGUAAAGCGCACGCAGGCGGUUUGUUAAGUCAGAUGUGAAAUCCCCGGGCUCAACCUGGGAACUGCAUCUGAUACUGGCAAGCUUGAGUCUCGUAGAGGGGGGUAGAAUUCCAGGUGUAGCGGUGAAAUGCGUAGAGAUCUGGAGGAAUACCGGUGGCGAAGGCGGCCCCCUGGACGAAGACUGACGCUCAGGUGCGAAAGCGUGGGGAGCAAACAGGAUUAGAUACCCUGGUAGUCCACGCCGUAAACGAUGUCGACUUGGAGGUUGUGCCCUUGAGGCGUGGCUUCCGGAGCUAACGCGUUAAGUCGACCGCCUGGGGAGUACGGCCGCAAGGUUAAAACUCAAAUGAAUUGACGGGGGCCCGCACAAGCGGUGGAGCAUGUGGUUUAAUUCGAUGCAACGCGAAGAACCUUACCUGGUCUUGACAUCCACGGAAGUUUUCAGAGAUGAGAAUGUGCCUUCGGGAACCGUGAGACAGGUGCUGCAUGGCUGUCGUCAGCUCGUGUUGUGAAAUGUUGGGUUAAGUCCCGCAACGAGCGCAACCCUUAUCCUUUGUUGCCAGCGGUCCGGCCGGGAACUCAAAGGAGACUGCCAGUGAUAAACUGGAGGAAGGUGGGGAUGACGUCAAGUCAUCAUGGCCCUUACGACCAGGGCUACACACGUGCUACAAUGGCGCAUACAAAGAGAAGCGACCUCGCGAGAGCAAGCGGACCUCAUAAAGUGCGUCGUAGUCCGGAUUGGAGUCUGCAACUCGACUCCAUGAAGUCGGAAUCGCUAGUAAUCGUGGAUCAGAAUGCCACGGUGAAUACGUUCCCGGGCCUUGUACACACCGCCCGUCACACCAUGGGAGUGGGUUGCAAAAGAAGUAGGUAGCUUAACCUUCGGGAGGGCGCUUACCACUUUGUGAUUCAUGACUGGGGUGAAGUCGUAACAAGGUAACCGUAGGGGAACCUGCGGUUGGAUCACCU